UUUAUUAGACAACUCGGCCAAUACAAAAUUAAAACACAAACAUACACAAAACGAUGUGUUGUUUGGAGCCACAGUACAGGCUAAAAGUAUUAGGCCUCCUGUGGUUUUUAAAACUCCCACUUUGCAAAAUGGCUGGAUAGACUUCCAAAAAUCUGUUUAAUUGGAAUUGACACAAAAGGAGACUAUUAAGGAAAGUUGUAUUUUUAAGUAAAACUCAUUUUUUUGUUUUGAUAGAAUGGUGAGAUGUGAACUUUUCAGACAACAAAUAAGAACUUUAAUCAAACAAAUGCAGUUUGGUUGUGGGGAUGGGGGUGGUAGGUGUUGUGUUGGAAUCCAGGUCUUUGUGUACUCCACCCCCAAUGUGACCAUGUUUUAUCUUUUGUGGCGAUACUGUCAGUGAAUGCGUAGCUGGUGUAAUAUCUCUCUCCUUCCCUCCUCCUUCUCAUUCCUUCUCAUCUCCUACACAUUCCUGUCUUUGCUUAUCAUAGAAACAACAAUAAAUAAAUAGUUGCCAAUGACCUCAAGCUGUGAUUAGGAUUUUGCUAUGCUAAAGGUCACUAGAAGGGGGAUUCUGCACUUCCAGCUCAUGCCGUGAGUGAAAGAUUCAUUAUGUUUCAGUCCGCUAUCCAAAAAAAUGAGCACCCCUCAGGCUGCCAGGGUGGUCCCUCAUACUUCUGUCCUCUUUGUUAAGUCUUUUCUUGACAUCACCUGUCAGUCAGUCUCAUUACCCCUCAUGGUCGUUGAUAUCCACCUCUCUGAUGGGGAGGGUCACUGCAAUGUUGGGCAUCUGGAACAAACUCCCAUGUGCAUCAAAAAUGAUGCAUUUCUGUCUACUAAUUUAGUGUCAAUGUCAAGCGGAGGGGUUCUAUUGAUUACCACAAUGUGAGCUUUUGGCACAUAAUGUAAUUCGCGCUGGGGCGAGUUUGAUGAAUUUCUACAACACUCAUGAAAUACAUGGUAGGCUCAUCAUAUAAUUCUACUUCACCGUGGCAGCCAUCUUGCGAUGGUGCUACAUGCAGAAGUAUAAAAUUGAACGGAAUUAAAUGGAAGCACGUGACCACGUUUCCCUUCUAGGCUUCUCUCUUCCGUUAAAAUAAUGGCGAUUGUUAGCGGCAGUCGCAGUGAGCGCGGUAGAGUUCGUUUACAAGUGAGUACUCUGUGAACUCGAUAAUUCGCCUCUUCCUCUUUGGUUCGUCCCAAAUUCGUUGCCUUUUGCGGUUCCUUUUCCGUUAGGACGCUUCGGAGCAGCAGGCCGUUGCCUUCGAGUGAGAGUGCAGGCAACAAGGCACCUGCCUUCCGUUUUAGACACAUCCAUUGCAUACGUACCCCUUAGCUUGCGGCCUCACUGCAAGAUGCACUAUUAUUUUAUUUGAUGGCCCGAUGCACUCACCGUGUCAUAAUUCCCAUUACCUAAUUGUUGCAUUCGAUUUAGGAUUUUUGGGUGGGGUAUGCACUCAGUCUAAUACAAUUGACACAGAUGCUGAACAUCUUGUUCAGCAGAACAACUUUGCCCCUCCCUCACACGGUGCACCUGGUGCUUUAUUCAGUUCUGUGAUUUCAAUGCCAGAUGUACUCAUACUAAAUGAACGUGCUAGUCUAAGUUCUUGUAAUUUUGGUAACAAGGAGUGCAUGACUGUGGUACACAAGAGCCCCUGGUUCACCUGAACACCCUGCCGUGUGCAGCGGCGUGUUUCCUGCAGCCUGUUUCACGAACCGCUGUGAAGGAGGCGCUUACAGGACAGCGCAGGUCAGCAGAAUCGGACCCAGACGCUGCGGGCCAGCUGGGAACCGUACUGCUUCGUACAUGACCCAGGGCACGACUGCAUUUUCGGCGACACAAAGCAUGGCCCUGAUUUAUAUUGCUCAGCAGUCCUUUCUGUUAGCCUUCUCUUAGCAUCCAUAUUUUUUUCUUACUUUCAGGCACUGUGAUGAAGAACAAAAAAAAUUUGAAAAACACUGGCUAAUUGAUCCAUGGUUAAGAGUAAAUCAUAAAAAUACUAAAUGUGAUCAGUGAGGAUAAAUGGGUUGUUUGAGCAAUUUAGUUCUCCCUAUUAGAGGUUUCUGUCCAUAACCAUGUUAAUUGCUUUUAAAAGAAAUAUGGAUGUAUGAAGAUAGUUUUACCAUCAGAUCUCAUCAGAAUAUCUUAGAAUAUGAAUAAAAAUUACAAUUCUACAUUAAUUGGUUGCUCUCAGAAAGGAAA
This is a long non-coding RNA of Anguilla anguilla (European eel), 2200 nucleotides long. RefSeq lists it as uncharacterized. The transcript is spliced from 3 exons. NCBI's taxonomy places the organism in Eukaryota, Metazoa, Chordata, Actinopteri, Anguilliformes, Anguillidae. The record is from RefSeq and is a predicted model, not a curated record.